UGACAAUUCAUUGAAUACUUUGCAGUUUAGAAUAGUCCAAUGAAAAGUUCUGUUUUACUCCGGAGUUGCUGGCAUGGGACACUGUCGGCAUUGGGAUGAGAUCAGUCAGAUUCGAAUUAGUAGAGUUCGAUGGUUGGUAUUUACUUCCCUUUUUCUUCAGAUAUUAGUAGAAAUGAUAUGGAAUAAAAUGGUGCAGAUGAGGAGAACAGAAACUAACAGAGCUAACACAUCAGUAAAGAACAGGAUGUGUCACCUUCACUAUUAUUUCAACCAACUGAUCAUCUCUUAAAGUUCUCACGCUGACUUUUAUAUCAGUUCUAGUGAUUUAACCUUAUGCCUCCAUUGGAGAAAAAUGAGAUCAUUAAUUUUGAAUAUUUGUUCUCACAUGAAACUUGUGUUUAUAGUUAACAUGAUUUAAUU
This 420-nucleotide long non-coding RNA is filed under the name Androctonus crassicauda. The record is from RNAcentral. Lineage: Eukaryota; Metazoa; Arthropoda; Arachnida; Scorpiones; Buthidae.